RNAcentral lists this ribosomal RNA (115 nucleotides) under Rhizobium mesosinicum. Lineage: Bacteria; Pseudomonadati; Pseudomonadota; Alphaproteobacteria; Hyphomicrobiales; Rhizobiaceae. The record is from RNAcentral. RNAcentral also lists the same sequence under 2 other names.
CCUGGUGGUUAUGGCGGGGUGGCUGCACCCGUUCCCUUUCCGAACACGGCCGUGAAACGCCCCAGCGCCUAUGGUACUUCGUCUCAAGACGCGGGAGAGUCGGUCGCUGCCAGGU